CUCCUCUCUCUCUCUCUCUCUCUCUCUCUCUCUUUGUCUCUCUCUCUCUCUCCCUCACACACACACAUACGCACACCAUUUAAAACUUUAAAGAAACCAUCAAACGAGAUACGUUUUUGAGAACGCCAUCCUGUAUACAUGAACAUAUAUUU
Pseudonaja textilis is the source of this 152-nucleotide non-coding RNA. The record is from RefSeq and is a predicted model, not a curated record. Lineage: Eukaryota; Metazoa; Chordata; Lepidosauria; Squamata; Elapidae.